RNAcentral lists this ribosomal RNA (473 nucleotides) under Plectosphaerella cucumerina. RNAcentral describes it as "eukaryotic LSU rRNA". The stretch from base 106 to 259 matches the Rfam family "5.8S ribosomal RNA". Lineage: Eukaryota; Fungi; Ascomycota; Sordariomycetes; Glomerellales; Plectosphaerellaceae. The record is from RNAcentral.
UAUACCUGUUGCUUCGGCGGCGCCCGCAAGGGUGCCCGCCGGUCUCAUCAGAAUCUCUGUUUUCGAACCCGACGAUACUUCUGAGUGUUCUUAGCGAACUGUCAAAACUUUUAACAACGGAUCUCUUGGCUCCAGCAUCGAUGAAGAACGCAGCGAAACGCGAUAUGUAAUGUGAAUUGCAGAAUUCAGUGAAUCAUCGAAUCUUUGAACGCACAUGGCGCCUUCCAGUAUCCUGGGAGGCAUGCCUGUCCGAGCGUCGUUUCAACCCUCGAGCCCCUGUGGCCCGGCGUUGGGGAUCUGCCACGGCAGGCCCCUAAAACCAGUGGCGGACCCGAAGGCCCUCUCCUUUGCGCAGUAGCAUCAGCCUCGCAUUGGGAUCCCUCGGCGUCCUGCCUCUAAACCCCCCACAAGUCCGCUCCGGCGGCACCAAGGUUGACCUCGGAUCAGGUAGGAAUACCCGCUGAACUUAAGCA